GAUGAACGCUGGCGGCGUGCCUAAUACAUGCAAGUCGAACGCAUUGUGGUUGAAAUGAUAUGAAGAACUUGUUCAGAUUUGAUUUUCAACAUUGCAAUGAGUGGCGAACGGGUGAGUAACACGUGGGAAACCUACCUCUUAGCAGGGGAUAACAUUUGGAAACAAAUGCUAAUACCGUAUAAUAAUUAAAACCGCAUGGUUUUAGUUUAAAAGAUGGUCUUGCUAUCACUAAGAGAUGGUCCCGCGGUGUAUUAGUUAGUUGGUGAGGUAAUGGCUCACCAAGACAAUGAUACAUAGCCGAGUUGAGAGACUGACCGGCCACAAUGGGACUGAGACACGGCCCAUACUCCUACGGGAGGCAGCAGUAGGGAAUCUUCCACAAAUGGACGAAAAGUCUGAUGGAGCGACGCCGCGUGUGUGAUGAAGGUUUCGGCUC
RNAcentral lists this ribosomal RNA (436 nucleotides) under uncultured bacterium. Its description in RNAcentral is "bacterial SSU rRNA". It matches the Rfam family "Bacterial small subunit ribosomal RNA", at positions 28 to 424 of the family's 1533-position model. The record is from RNAcentral.